RNAcentral lists this ribosomal RNA (637 nucleotides) under Penicillium sp. NRRL 35682. Its description in RNAcentral is "eukaryotic LSU rRNA". It matches the Rfam family "Eukaryotic large subunit ribosomal RNA", at positions 1 to 649 of the family's 3401-position model. The record is from RNAcentral. Lineage: Eukaryota; Fungi; Ascomycota; Eurotiomycetes; Eurotiales; Aspergillaceae.
AGGUUGACCUCGGAUCAGGUAGGGAUACCCGCUGAACUUAAGCAUAUCAAUAAGCGGAGGAAAAGAAACCAACAGGGAUUGCCUCAGUAACGGCGAGUGAAGCGGCAAGAGCUCAAAUUUGAAAGCUGGCUCCUUCGGGGUCCGCAUUGUAAUUUGCAGAGGAUGUUUCGGGAGCAGCCCCCAUCUAAGUGUCCUGGAACGGACCGUCAUAGAGGGUGAGAAUCCCGUAUGGGAUGGGGUGUCUGCGCCCAUGUGAAACUCCUUCGACGAGUCGAGUUGUUUGGGAAUGCAGCUCUAAAUGGGUGGUAAAUUUCAUCUAAAGCUAAAUAUUGGCCGGAGACCGAUAGCGCACAAGUAGAGUGAUCGAAAGAUGAAAAGCACUUUGAAAAGAGAGUUAAAAAGCACGUGAAAUUGUUGAAAGGGAAGCGCUUGCGAUCAGACUCGCCUUGGGGGUUCAGCCGGCAUUCGUGCCGGUGUACUUCCCCCAGGGCGGGCCAGCGUCGGUUUGGGUGGCCGGUCAAAGGCCCUUGGAAUGUAACGCCUCUCGGGGCGUCUUAUAGCCAAGGGUGCCAUGCGGCCUACCUGGACCGAGGAACGCGCUUCGGCUCGGACGCUGGCAUAAUGGUCGUAAGCGACC